AAGUACACAGCAAAAUCACCAGUGUUAAAUUUUCAGGGAUGGUGUUAAAUACACAGUGUUGAUGCUGUUUUAACACUAUCUGGUAAUAAAAUAACACUGCCAUUGCUAGGCCAGUGUUAUAUCCACGACAGUGUCAGUGUAAAACAAGGGUGUUAUCAGAUUUCACUCUGAGCGGUGUAAAUCAAGCCACGCCUCCACUAAACAUUUCCUGUCAGAGAUUUUACCGCCAUUUUCUUUCAAAGGAGGACUGAAGAGAGCAGGUAAAUCUCAUAAUAUUCACUUGGUUUAGCUAAAUUAAACUGUUAUUUCUCUGUCUGACUCUACGCAGCCAUAUGCCAAAAAACCUAAAUAAGAUAUUUUUCCCAUUUUAUUUCCCCUUUGUUCGUUAUUUGGUUCAGUUUAAUCAGAGCUACCUUGUGUUACGUUGUUCCCUUGUUAGUUUAGUAUAAAGUUAAACUGCUAGCUAAAAGUUUUAACCAAGAAGGAUAAUAGGAGAUAUGAACGAAAGAAUUGAACCAUGAUAAAACGCGACAUGCACUACAAAUUGAAGGUAUGAAAUUAAGUUAAAUGAAGCUCGUUUAUUCACCAUAUGAUGCUCGUUAUGAGGUAAUCGCUAGAUACCGUGAGUUAACGAGGUCGUUUACAUGCACGUGAGUGCACGGAUAUCGGUUAAUUAUUCAAAUUACUGAAAAACACGGAGAAAACCGCAACCGCAUUGCCAUGUGUUUUUCUAAGAUGUAUGCAAACAGGGGAAAUAUCACCAAACCAACAAUUCAUUUUACCUCAGAAUAUAUCAUCAUUUGUAUGCACAGAUUGCUGGAUUGGAUGCUUUGUAUGUUGUAAGCUUUUCGUGGCGCUAGAUGUCAGACAGAUGCAAAUGGCAAAUACAUACGAAAGUGUAAAACGUGUAUGGCGAACAUUUGUUUUUCUGUCAUUAUAGAUGCUAGUUUGGUGAAAGUACACACUGAGUGCUUCAAAUCAUUCAGAAGAGAUGCUGUUUUUAGGGCAGUUUAUAAGACCUGCAUGGAUGACUUCCAAUGAGAAACGACUGCUAAUACUUAUAUAAAUUCAUUACAGAAGGUAAGUUUAUAUAUUUAUACAUAUAAAUCAUUUUAUUUAACAUAACUGAACAGUUAACCAAUCUUUUUAGUAUAGUUUUGUACAUAUUAUGGUUAUUAAUCUGGCAAGAAAGUCACAUGACCUGCUGCCAACUUUAAUAAAAAUAUAUUAUCUUCUCAUACAUCGUUUUGCUAUUGAUAUCAUAUUAAAUAGCAAUCAAAUUGAUUACUAUCUUGAAAAUGUAUAAAUGAAGAUUCAUAUUGUCUUGAGUGCUUUUUUAAUAUAAAAAGAAUGUUGAGUUUUCAGAGUCUUUAUUGUCAUUUUUUUGUGAUAGGACUCUACCAGACUAUAUUUGAAUACGGCAUACCCAUGAAUUCUGAACUGUUAUUCCUUAACCCAGUUUGGAGGAUAAGAGCUUACUACUAGUUAUGUGAGUACACACAGUACAUUAAUACUGUACACUGUCUCUAACAUGAUUUAUUAUGCUGAGAUGAUUUUGAUUCAAAUAACGGUUAAAACUGCACCCUUUUUGGUAUUUUCUUGACUCUUUUUGUCUUUGAAAAUCUGCAGAAAUAUGCUGAGGCGAUGUAUUGCAAAAUAGCCAACAUACAACAAUUAAAUGAUAAUUGCAGACUACAUCCUGAUGAAGAUAUGGAUGACCCCGUGUCUGGUCAACAGGAGUUUAAAUAUGGACGGGACAGUUAUGUGCCAGCUCUUCCCUGACUCAUUUGUGAAAGGAGGAAAGACUGGAGAGGGUCAAUGUGCAACUGAAGCUACUGAUUGUUCUGUGUGAUGAGCAUCAAUCCAUGCUUUGAGGGGGAUGAAUCAGCACAGCCCUGCCUGCUCUGCGUUGGGAACAGAAUUUUUGCAUCAUUCUGGGCCAAAAAGCCCUGCAUGAUGAAGACCACUGAUGCAGCCUUCCACUACAUCAUGAGUAAAACAACUACAGAACUAAAUACCAGGUUGGAACGUGUUUAAAAAAAUGAAACGUUGCUUGAAUUGAAAUGUCUGUUUUGUUAUGGAAAAAUCUUUAGUAUUGUGAAGGAUAAGCAUUUCUGCUUGCCAGUAAGGUAAUUGCGAUGUAUUUUAAUGUUCAAGUUUUGAGUAGGGUGGCUAAUUUUUUUAACUCUCAUUUGAUUUAUUAAAGACUUUAUAAUAAGUGGUUUUCAUGUCACUGCGCUGUGGUAUAAGAUAACUUUCAUGAUUAUUCCAUACUGUAUUCUGUUUCUAAU
This is a non-coding RNA of Misgurnus anguillicaudatus (oriental weatherfish), 2291 nucleotides long. NCBI's taxonomy places the organism in Eukaryota, Metazoa, Chordata, Actinopteri, Cypriniformes, Cobitidae. The record is from RefSeq and is a predicted model, not a curated record.